RNAcentral lists this ribosomal RNA (482 nucleotides) under uncultured bacterium. Its description in RNAcentral is "partial 16S ribosomal RNA". It matches the Rfam family "Bacterial small subunit ribosomal RNA", at positions 30 to 507 of the family's 1533-position model. The record is from RNAcentral.
AUUGAACGCUGGCGGCAUGCUUUACACAUGCAAGUCGAACGGUAACAGGCCGCAAGGUGCUGACGAGUGGCGAACGGGUGAGUAAUGCAUCGGAACGUGCCCAGUCGUGGGGGAUAACUACUCGAAAGAGUAGCUAAUACCGCAUACGAUCUAUGGAUGAAAGCGGGGGACCGUAAGGCCUCGCGCGAUUGGAGCGGCCGAUGUCAGAUUAGGUAGUUGGUGGGGUAAAGGCUCACCAAGCCAACGAUCUGUAGCUGGUCUGAGAGGGCAACCAGCCACACUGGGACUGAGACACGGCCCAGACUCCUACGGGAGGCAGCAGUGGGGAAUUUUGGACAAUGGGCGCAAGCCUGAUCCAGCAAUGCCGCGUGCAGGAAGAAGGCCUUCGGGUUGUAAACUGCUUUUGUACGGAACGAAACGGCUCUGGUUAAUACCCGGGGCUAAUGACGGUACCGUAAGAAUAAGCACCGGCUAACUACGUG